This 465-nucleotide ribosomal RNA is filed under the name Vreelandella stevensii. RNAcentral describes it as "partial 16S ribosomal RNA". It matches the Rfam family "Bacterial small subunit ribosomal RNA", at positions 338 to 795 of the family's 1533-position model. Lineage: Bacteria; Pseudomonadati; Pseudomonadota; Gammaproteobacteria; Oceanospirillales; Halomonadaceae. The record is from RNAcentral.
CCUACGGGUGGCAGCAGUGGGGAAUAUUGGACAAUGGGCGAAAGCCUGAUCCAGCCAUGCCGCGUGUGUGAAGAAGGCCUUCGGGUUGUAAAGCACUUUCAGUGGGGAAGAAAGCCUUGGGGCUAAUACCCUCGAGGAAGGACAUCACCCACAGAAGAAGCACCGGCUAACUCCGUGCCAGCAGCCGCGGUAAUACGGAGGGUGCGAGCGUUAAUCGGAAUUACUGGGCGUAAAGCGCGCGUAGGCGGUCUGAUAAGCCGGUUGUGAAAGCCCCGGGCUCAACCUGGGAACGGCAUCCGGAACUGUCAGGCUAGAGUGCAGGAGAGGAAAGUAGAAUUCCUGGUGUAGCGGUGAAAUGCGUAGAGAUCGGGAGGAAUACCAGUGGCGAAGGCGGCCUUCUGGACUGACACUGACGCUGAGGUGCGAAAGCGUGGGUAGCAAACAGGAUUAGAUACCCGAGUAGUC